GUUUAGAUUGGUUCUAACAUUAUGUAUUCCACUUCGUUCACAGGUAUAUUAAAGUUGUUGCAGUUAAAAAGCUCGUAGUUGGAUUUGUGGGUGGAGCGGGGUUCCCGACGCCUAGCGUCGGUGAGGCCCGUCUCCGUCCAUCCUUGGGUGGAAUCCGUGUGGCAUUGAGUUGUCGCGCGGGGGAUGCCCAUCUUUUACUGUGAAAAAAUUAGAGUGUUCAAAGCAGGCUGACGCCGUUGAAUAUAUUAGCAUGGAAUAAUAAGAUAGGACUUCGGUACUAUUUUGUUGGUUUGCGCACCGAAGUAAUGAUUAAUAGGGACAGUUGGGGGCAUUCGUAUUCCAUUGUCAGAGGUGAAAUUCUUGGAUUUCUGGAAGACGAACGACUGCGAAAGGUGA
This 396-nucleotide ribosomal RNA is filed under the name Bacillariophyceae sp. RCC1968. RNAcentral's name for it is "bacterial SSU rRNA". The stretch from base 51 to 396 matches the Rfam family "Eukaryotic small subunit ribosomal RNA", at positions 606 to 955 of the family's 1831-position model. The record is from RNAcentral. Lineage: Eukaryota; Bacillariophyta; Bacillariophyceae.